AAAUAUUUCAAAAUAUACUUGCCCGAGGUGCAACAUACACUACUGCGGUUCAGAAUGUUAUAAAUCAAAGGAACAUAGCACUUGUUCUGAACAGUUUUACCAACAAUGUGUUUACGAUGAAUUAAACUACCGUAAAAAAUGUGCAAACCCUGACUUGAGAGCGAAAACAUAUGAUUUACUGCAAAGAUUUAAGCAAGAAACAUCUGAAGAAGAAAUACCUUUUAUUGACACAAAUGACCUUCACGAGCGUAUCGAAGGAGUUGAUCUCG
Long non-coding RNA from Octopus sinensis (East Asian common octopus), 269 nucleotides. RefSeq lists it as uncharacterized. The record is from RefSeq and is a predicted model, not a curated record. NCBI's taxonomy places the organism in Eukaryota, Metazoa, Mollusca, Cephalopoda, Octopoda, Octopodidae. The transcript is spliced from 3 exons.